Molecule: ribosomal RNA, 424 nt
Filed under: uncultured prokaryote
Description: bacterial SSU rRNA
Rfam family: Bacterial small subunit ribosomal RNA
Source: RNAcentral
UGGGGAAUUUUGCACAAUGGGGGAAACCCUGAUGCAGCAACGCCGCGUGAGUGAUGAAGGCCCUAGGGUUGUAAAGCUCUUUCAGCAGGGAAGAUGAUGACGGUACCUGCAGAAGAAGCCCCGGCUAACUCCGUGCCAGCAGCCGCGGUAAUACGGAGGGGGCUAGCGUUGUUCGGAAUUACUGGGCGUAAAGGGCGCGUAGGCGGCACAUCAAGUCAGAGGUGAAAGCCCCGGGCUCAACCUGGGAAUUGCCUUUGAAACUGAUGAGCUAGAGUCCGGAAGAGGAUAGCGGAAUUCCCAGUGUAGAGGUGAAAUUCGUAGAUAUUGGGAAGAACACCAGUGGCGAAGGCGGCUAUCUGGUCCGGUACUGACGCUGAGGCGCGAAAGCGUGGGGAGCAAACAGGAUUAGAUACCCCUGUAGUCC